This 620-nucleotide ribosomal RNA is filed under the name uncultured Verrucomicrobiota bacterium. RNAcentral describes it as "bacterial SSU rRNA". It matches the Rfam family "Bacterial small subunit ribosomal RNA", at positions 77 to 680 of the family's 1533-position model. Lineage: Bacteria; Pseudomonadati; Verrucomicrobiota. The record is from RNAcentral.
UAGCAAUACGAUGGAAAGUCUAGUGGCGAACGGGUGCUUAACACGUGGGCAAUCUGUCUUAAAGUGGGGGAUAGCUCGGCGAAAGCCGAAUUAAUACCGCAUGUGAUUAGAGUGGACAUCCAUUCGAAAUUAAAGGUGGCGCAAGCUACCGCUUUUUGAGGAGCCCGCGGCCUAUCAGCUUGUUGGUGAGGUAACGGCUCACCAAGGCUUUGACGGGUAGCUGGUCUGAGAGGACGACCAGCCACACUGGGACUGAGACACGGCCCAGACACCUACGGGUGGCAGCAGUCGAGAAUUUUUCUCAAUGGGGGAAACCCUGAAGGAGCGACGCCGCGUGGAGGAUGAAGGUCUUCGGAUUGUAAACUCCUGUCAUUGGGGAACAAGUCGCUUACGUUAACUGCGUGAGCGUUGAUAGUACCCGAAGAGGAAGAGACGGCUAACUCUGUGCCAGCAGCCGCGGUAAUACAGAGGUCUCAAGCGUUGUUCGGAUUCAUUGGGCGUAAAGGGUGCGUAGGCGGCGCGGUAAGUCGGGUGUGAAAUCUUGGAGCUUAACUCCGAAACUGCAUUCGAUACUGCCGUGCUUGAGGACUGGAGAGGAGACUGGAAUUCACGGUGUAGCA